CUGCCAUCCAUGGAUUCUGUCAGUGUUUUGAUCUGUUCACCAUCAACAUUGCGUGCAGCAGCAACCACAGCCUCCCUGACACUGUUCAGAGAGGUGUACUGUUUUCCCUCCUUGUAAAUCUCACAUUUGAUGAUGGACCACAGGUUCUCAAUGGGGUUCAGAUCAGGUGAACAAGGAGGCCAUGUCAUUAGAUUUUCUUCUUUUAUACCCU
This is a non-coding RNA of Pelobates cultripes (western spadefoot toad), 211 nucleotides long. Lineage: Eukaryota; Metazoa; Chordata; Amphibia; Anura; Pelobatidae. The record is from the annotation of a GenBank genome assembly.